Molecule: long non-coding RNA, 2998 nt
Filed under: Sus scrofa (pig)
Lineage: Eukaryota; Metazoa; Chordata; Mammalia; Artiodactyla; Suidae
Description: lncRNA (ENSSSCG00050064560.1)
Source: RNAcentral
UAGUUGGCUACUUACUAUGUACCGUGCAUAAUGUGAAAAAUUUUAUUGAGACUUAUGUAAUUAGAUUUUUAUUACAACUAGAAAUUUUUAUUUUUGCAUUUUACUGAUGAGGUUAAUAAUAACCUCCCUGAUAUCUCAGAAAUAGCAACUAAAGCCCACAUACUCUGACUCUGGACUCUAUCUGCUUCACCUACUCCUUCGAUGGUGCUGGAAACAUGAAAUUUCAGAGACUAGUGGUACUUUGAUCUUCCUAUUUGCUACGGUUGAAAAACUGGCCUAAAUAGAUUAGGUACUGAUUNGUGUGUGUGUGUGUGUGUGUGUGUGUGUGUGAAUUAGCCAUAAAAAAAAAUCUUAAAAUACAUGAAUACCUAUUAAAUUGAGGGUUCCUAAGACUGGAAAUUUGUUUUGGCUUAACUGUACUGCCAAUUGGUCAUGAAGGAAAUUAUUUAUAUUACAAGACAGGGAAGCAACGAGUUUGAUAAUUAUGUGAGUGGAUCCUGCAGUCAGAUUUCCUAGGGUCAAAUCCUUGUUCUUGCCAUUUCUUUGUCCCAGUAAACCUUAUUUUCCUCAUUUCUUCCUAAAUCAAAGGAUCAUGAGGAUUAAAUGAAAUAGUCCGUAUGAGGCAUUUAUCAUAGCAUCAGUCACUUUUAGCUUUUAUCGUGAUGAAGCAUUUCGAUUUAAUAUUAUAAAGUCAUUUCUGAUGACUUUAAAACCAGCAUUUGUCAGGAAGGAUGCUUGUGGAGCCUCUUUUACUGGGUUUAUUUAAAAGUAAAAUGUACUCCAUAGUCUCCAAUGACUGAUGUGUGUUUUUUCCUGUAUCUGAGUGUACAGAUCAGAUGAGCUUUGAAGGUCCUCUUCAACCUUGUGAGCGUGUUUUUUUUUUUGUUUUGUUUUGUUUUUCCAUGUUACCCCUUUUCUCCAUGUUUGCUAGUUUUUCUUCAAAAUAAGAUUGUGUAAUCCAUUCCAUUUUUAAUAACUAAAAAAGAAUAUUUGUUAACUCAUGCUUUCACAGACUUCUGAUGGAUCAGUUUUAGUUUUGGCUACAAACAAACACACCAAAAUAGUUAAAUAAACAAAAGACACAUAUUCUAUUUUUAAGCAAAAUAAUGUAUUAAAAUAAUUUUGAAUAAAUUUAAGUAUUUAAAAAAUGAAGUAAUAGUAAGACAGUUGCAUAAAAAGCCUAGGUUAACAAAAGGACAGGUCAUUUAAUUAUUCUCCCCUAUCUUCCUUCAUUUGCCAACUCGUGUAUUCAUUUGCUCCUGGACACCAUGACGACAAAUUUACCAAGUGACUACUGUGUAUGAUGCUGGCUGCCUGGGAGGAUGCAGACUUCCACAGCCCAAGAUUUCUACUCAGGGGAGCUUGUAAAAACUUUGAACAUGAAAGCAGCAUAGCAAUGCAGAAAAAUCAAAUUUCAAGAGAAUAUCGCGUUGCCGUUUUAAGAUACAUUUAGCUCGGCAGACUUAGGUCACCCUCCCUUCCUCUGCUUCCUAAAUGCAUGGAACUCUUUAUGACACAGAUUUCAUCUGAUAGGAAGAAUUCUUAAAAGGCUUAAUCCUGCUUCCCUCAAACUAAAGUUGUACUUAGGCUGUUUGGACGAGUUAAUUAUGGGCAAAGACCAGAAUACUAAUUAGUAUCAAAAGUGGAAACAUAUACAUAGAAAAUAUAUGAAUGGUGAUUUGAAGCUUAUUAAGACUUUCUUAUCAGUGGCCUUGCUGAGUGAAGUUUUUGAUCAAGCUUAUCUCUAGGAAAUGUGAGAAAAUAAAAAGUCGUGAAGGCACAGGAACAUGUUUUCCUUCCUGUUUGAGCUUCACCAAUUCCACCUCUCAGAAGGUAACAUGGUCCUAAGGAGCUUCUGUUGUUGAUGAGUGCGAUUAAAAUGUUAACUUCAAAAAUCAUUAAAUGAUAAAAAUUCAUGGUAAAAUUUCAAGGGUUACCAUUUAAAAAAAAAAGAAAAAGAAAAAGAAUAAAUUGUGAAUCUGUUAGAAGGAAAAAUGGAAUAAGAAGAAAACAAGGAAAAACCCAGUUAACCCCAAAAAAGUAAAAAGAUCAGAGAAUUUAUUUUAUCUGUAUAGAAUGAAUUGGAGACUAUGAAGGAAAAGAAAUGUGAAGUGAUAAGCAGAUGUAUUCAUUUAGUAAGUUAUCACUUGAUAAUUAUGUUUUUAAACUAGAGUAGAAAUUUGGAUACAAACACUUCUGCUGCUGGACAAAAUACAUCUUGUUCUUUGGAAUUAUUUCACAUAAUUUGUUUACAAAUAACACACAGAUAAAGAUUUGACAGAUUAUAUUCAGCUUACUGUUAAUUACACAGAGAUAAACUCAUGAGCUAUUUCCCAUGAUUGGUGCCAGGUAUUUUAACCACUCUUUCUGCAAUACAGAUAACGAGUGCUGCGUUCAUCCUGAUACUUUGACAUUGAAAGGAAGAAUUUUAAGAAUUGCUUAAGGAUUAAAGUGAGAUUGAUCUUCUUAAGUCGAGGACUUCAUUCACAAUGACAUUUUCAUUUGUGCAUAACUUCAACAGAAAACAUACUAAGAUGUGGAUGGCAUAAAAUAAACCAAUUUAUUUAUUACCCAUAUAUACUGAAAGAUGUGUAACUUCAACAUCUCAAGAAUUGGGAGUUUGCAAAAUUAAAUUGUGAACCUUGAAACCAGUCAAAUAUAGUUAUUCUUAAUUAAUAGUUAAAGCAUAUUUACAACUUUGAAUACAAACAGCAAAUCUAUGAUAGCUGAAUAAUAGUUAAAGUUUUUAAAAAGUAGAAAAUUUCAGAUAAUAACCAUUGCAUAGUAAAAUUAAUUUAUUAGUCUGGGUUCAAUCAAAGAAGCAGAUCCAAUAAGAGUUAGUCUGUCUAUCAUUAUAUCUAUCUAUCUAUCUAUCUAUCUAUCAUCCAUCAUCUACCUAUCCAUAUUAAGGGUUUUAACCUUAUGUAGAGUUGCCAAGGAAAUUCAUUGGGGAAAAUUUUACAAUUGCAAGUGGUUCUGUGGCAAUUGGAUGUCUAUU